GAUAAAACAUUACGGUCCAGGCGGGGGUAGGAUGCAAUCUGCGUCCCAUGUGGACCUGCCUUAAAAUGUACCAAUCUAAAAUGGUUGCCUAAGUCAACAAAUGGGAGCAAUUCAAGAUUAACCUAUCACUUAGAAAUCAAGUGGCACUUUAUAUGCUUCAUAAACUCUUGAAGCUACCAGUAGUACUAUCAAAGAGAGCCAAAGUAAUAUGACACAAAGUCAUAUGAGUAUAUCAACUGCACAAGAAACAGCAAUCUCGCCAUGCACUAUGUGAAAGCAGAAAGCCUAUGAACCAGCAAGAAUCCUGCUACUUGCUACUGCUGCAAAAAAACAGAGAUGUGACAGACAUGAGUGAUAAACGAUUCAUCCAGCUUAGCAACUACCUGAAUAGGAUGAAAGUUAGACUUCUUGAAAAUUAAGGAAUAAAAUUCCAUUGUGUGUGUCAAAUAGACUUCAUAAUGCAGGAUUUGCCGUACAUAAGGACAGUUUCAGAUUUUGAUGAACUACAAGCAUGAGAAGUGAGCUUGUAACUGUUGCUACAGCAAAAGCGCCUAACCAAGAAAGCAGAGACUUCCUAGCAGCGUAACUAAGAACCAAUCAAUUUUAUUUCAUUGAAGAUUUCACUGAUCAUUUUUAGCAAAUAAUCCAAACGAAUAUCAUGCCACUUAAAAUGCAACCAUAUCCACCUUAUCUACUUACUCCUAAAUGUAUACUACAAAAUUUAGAUCCUGCUGUAAUGAAUAAAUGGCAUGCCUUCCAUCAUCACGAAUAAAUCCUUGAUGCCAAAUUGGGCUGACCUGGAACCCUCCUAACACACUGUUAUUGAAUUCCUGUACAAAAUAAAUGAGAGUCAAGGUUUCUUGUGGGUAUCAUAACUUAGGACGGCAAA
Molecule: long non-coding RNA, 889 nt
Organism: Magnolia sinica
Lineage: Eukaryota; Viridiplantae; Streptophyta; Magnoliopsida; Magnoliales; Magnoliaceae
Exons: 2
Source: RefSeq, a predicted model, not a curated record